This 412-nucleotide ribosomal RNA is filed under the name uncultured bacterium. Its description in RNAcentral is "bacterial SSU rRNA". It matches the Rfam family "Bacterial small subunit ribosomal RNA", at positions 355 to 787 of the family's 1533-position model. The record is from RNAcentral.
UGGGGAAUUUUGCGCAAUGGGGAAGACCCUGACGCAGCAACGCCGCGUGCGGGACGACGGCCCUCGGGUUGUAAACCGCUUUCAGUGGGGACGACGAUGACGGUACCCACAGAAGAAGCUCCGGGCUAACUACGUGCCAGCAGCCGCGGUAAUACGUAGGGAGCGAGCGUUAUCCGGAUUCAUUGGGCGUAAAGCGCGCGUAGGCGGCCUGCUAAGCGGAACCUCUAACCCGGCUGCACCACUCGGGCCGGGUUCCGAACUGGCGGGCUCGAGUGCGGUAGAGGCAGGCGGAAUUCCCGGUGUAGCGGUGGAAUGCGCAGAUAUCGGGAAGAACACCGAUGGCGAAGGCAGCCUGCUGGGCCGCCACUGACGCUGAGGCGCGAAAGCUGGGGAGCGAACAGAUUAGAUACCC